Molecule: ribosomal RNA, 348 nt
Filed under: uncultured bacterium
Lineage: Bacteria
Description: bacterial SSU rRNA
Rfam family: Bacterial small subunit ribosomal RNA
Source: RNAcentral
GAUGAACGCCGGCGGUGUGCCUAAUACAUGCAAGUCGUACGCACUGGCCCAACUGAUUGAUGGUGCUUGCACCCUGAUUGACGAUGGAUCACCAGUGAGUGGCGGACGGGUGAGUAACACGUAGGUAACCUCGCCCCGGAGGCGGGGGAUAACAUUUGGAAACAGAUGCUAAUACCGCAUAACAAACAAAAGCCGCAUUGGUUUUUGUUUAGAAAGAUGGCUUUGGCUAUCACUCUGGAUGGACCUGCGGUGCAUUAGCUAGUUGGUAAGGUAACGGCUUACCAAGGCGAUGAUGCAUAGCCGAGUUGAGAGACUGAUCGGCCACAAUGGAACUGAGACACGGUCCAU